UAAGUUUCAUAUUAAAGACCGGAGCUCAACUCCGUGUUUGUAUGGAAAACUAUUUACCUAGAAUUAGGGAGAGGCAAACGGAAUGGUAAGAGUAGAGGUGCAAUUCGUAGAUACUUACCAGAACACCAAAAGCGAAGGCAGUUUACUGGAACUAUAUUGACGCUGAGAGACGAAAGCGUGGGGAGCGAAAAGGAUUAGAUACCCUUGUAGUCCACGCCCUAAACGAUGAUAAUUAAGUGUCGGGCCUUGUGCUCGGUGCUGUAGCAAACGCGUUAAAUUAUCCACCUGAGGAGUACGGUCGCAAGACUAAAACUCAAAUGAAUAGACGGGGACCCACACAAGCAGUGGAUCAUGCGGUUUAAUUCGACAUUAAACGGAGAAUCUUACCCAGGCUUGACAUCUACAGAAUCUUUGAGAAAUCAGAGAGUGCCCGUAAGGGAACUGUAAGACAGGCGCUGCAUGGUUGUCGUCAGCUCGUGCCUUGAGGUGUUCGGUUAAGUCCGUUAACGAGCGCAACCCAUGUCAUUAGUUACUAUGUCUAAUGAGACUGCCCGAGUUAAUCGGGGGGAAGGUGUGGAUGACGUCAAAUCAGCAUGGCCCUUAUGCCUGGGGCCACACGCAUGAUACAAUGGUCGGUACAAAGAGCAGCGAUGUGGUAACACGGAGCCAAUCUCAUAAAGCCGAUCUCAGUCCGGAUUGAGGUCUGAAACUCGACCUCAUGAAGUUGGAAUUG
RNAcentral lists this ribosomal RNA (733 nucleotides) under uncultured bacterium. RNAcentral's name for it is "bacterial SSU rRNA". It matches the Rfam family "Bacterial small subunit ribosomal RNA", at positions 584 to 1334 of the family's 1533-position model. The record is from RNAcentral.